Molecule: long non-coding RNA, 1240 nt
Filed under: Triticum aestivum (bread wheat)
Lineage: Eukaryota; Viridiplantae; Streptophyta; Magnoliopsida; Poales; Poaceae
Description: long non-coding RNA (TAES_LNC005476)
Source: RNAcentral
CUUGUGCCCAUGAUGAGGACGCGGCUAUCGAUAGAUUAAAAUACACUCUGCAGAGGUAGCGCACUGUACCUACACCACGGAACCCAUGGCCUCGCACUACCAUUCGGGUGGACCAACAGCGUUCUGACAAAACCGACCUACUGCCAUGACACUCUCCCGGCCACUCCGACCAACACCCCUUAUGGGCUCAGUCCUGGGUGGCCCUGUACCUACCAAAGGUACCAAAGGCCACUGUCAUGGCAAAACGGUCCCAAACGGGGACAUGAGCUCAAAACCUAACCUGGGCACACAAGGCUUAUGUCCGCCUACCUGAUCAGGGUAACGCGUGCCCAUAACCUUCCCUCGCGGGAGGCACCGGCGAGAGGCAUGACAAUAGACCUAGCUAGGAUCUCCCAUAAGGUAAAUGUGGAUGCACUGGAGAAAGCUCGAUUUGGUGGCACUAUGAUAUCCUAGUGAUGACAGAUGAGGUUUGAUAUUAAGUCAUAUUAUUAACUUCACCGUCAUCAAUCAUCAUGCGAGCAUUUUAACAUGAGUGUAACAACUAUCAUGCAACAUACCGAUGCAGUAACAAAAUCAAGCUUUUCAAAUGAAGAAUGAUAGUAUGCGAAACAUGGCAAUAACAAGUACUAGUGAUUUCACUAGUGCAACAGAAUAUCAGAACAUCGAUAUUACUAACAUGAGAAGAAACUAGACAGAGGCAUGAUAUUACCAGUAACAACAGCAAAUUAGCAUGUCAACUUAUUUCAUAAAAGCAUAAGCAUGCAAGACAUAUAACAAAAACAUAUAGCACGGCUAAAACAACAGCAGACGGAACAGACAAGAGACUCCUGCAACUAAACACACACACACGAAGUGCAAGCAAAGUCAACAUGCAAGUUCGGGGCUUAUGAUAAGAGGUUGGCUUGCCUGGGGUCGACAAAUGCUUCGGGAAGAAGUGUGAAACGCUCGCGAAAAGGGUUGCCGGAAAUAGUUCUCUCUCGGAGGGGGCUGUUUAUGGGCAAGGGCAAAGUGAUCAUUUUCACUAUGUGCAAACAUUAUGGAAAUGAUACCAACAGAAAGAGCUCGACAAACCGAGAACAUGAGCGUUGGAAUCACCUCAAUCAGAGUUACGGUUGUCGAGAUACGAAGGGUUGAAGCUCAGGGACCUAUCGGUGAUUUUUUUCCAGCAAACAGGCCCCUGGAGGAAAAACUGAACGCGCCUUUGGGCCGAAUACGUUUUUUGCAAAGAGAAACGUAUUUU